This 253-nucleotide ribosomal RNA is filed under the name uncultured bacterium. Its description in RNAcentral is "partial 16S ribosomal RNA". It matches the Rfam family "Bacterial small subunit ribosomal RNA", at positions 524 to 776 of the family's 1533-position model. The record is from RNAcentral.
UACAGAGGGGGCAAGCGUUGUUCGGAAUUACUGGGCGUAAAGGGCGCGUAGGCGGCCUUCUAAGUCGAACGUGAAAUCUCCGGGCUCAACCCGGGAACUGCGUCCGAUACUGGAAGGCUUGAAUCCGGGAGAGGGAUGCGGAAUUCCAGGUGUAGCGGUGAAAUGCGUAGAUAUCUGGAGGAACACCGGUGGCGAAGGCGGCAUCCUGGACCGGCAUUGACGCUGAGGCGCGAAAGCCAGGGGAGCAAACGGG